GACGAACGCUGGCGGCGUGCCUAAUACAUGCAAGUUGAGCGCUGAAGGUUGGUACUUGUACCGACUGGAUGAGCAGCGAACGGGUGAGUAACGCGUGGGGAAUCUGCCUUUGAGCGGGGGACAACAUUUGGAAACGAAUGCUAAUACCGCAUAAAAACUUUAAACACAAGUUUUAAGUUUGAAAGAUGCAAUUGCAUCACUCAAAGAUGAUCCCGCGUUGUAUUAGCUAGUUGGUGAGGUAAAGGCUCACCAAGGCGAUGAUACAUAGCCGACCUGAGAGGGUGAUCGGCCACAUUGGGACUGGGACACGGCCCCAACUCCUACGGGAGGCAGCAGUAGGGAAUCUUCGGCAAUGGACGAAAGUCUGACCGAGCAACGCCGCGGGAGUGAAGAAGGUUUUCGGAUCGUAAAACUCUGUUGGUAGGGAAGAACGUUGGUGAGAGUGGAAAGCUCAUCAAGUGACGGUAACUACCCAGAAAGGGACGGCUAACUACGUG
Molecule: ribosomal RNA, 497 nt
Filed under: uncultured bacterium
Lineage: Bacteria
Description: partial 16S ribosomal RNA
Rfam family: Bacterial small subunit ribosomal RNA
Source: RNAcentral